This 400-nucleotide ribosomal RNA is filed under the name uncultured bacterium. RNAcentral's name for it is "bacterial SSU rRNA". It matches the Rfam family "Bacterial small subunit ribosomal RNA", at positions 359 to 776 of the family's 1533-position model. The record is from RNAcentral.
GAAUCUUAGACAAUGGGGGAAACCCUGAUCUAGCCAUGCCGCGUGAGUGAUGAAGGCCUUAGGGUCGUAAAGCUCUUUCGCCAGAGAUGAUAAUGACAGUAUCUGGUAAAGCAACCCCGGCUAACUCCGUACCAGCAGCCGCGGUAAGACGGCGGGGGUUAGCGUUGUUCGGAAUUACUGGGCGUAAAGCGCACGUAGGCGGAUUAGAAAGUUGGGGGUGAAAUCCCAGGGCUCAACCCUGGAACUGCCUCCAAAACUUCUAGUCUAGAGUUCGAGAGAGGUGAGUGGAAUUCCGAGUGUAGAGGUGAAAUUCGUAGAUAUUCGGAGGAACACCAGUGGCGAAGGCGGCUCACUGGCUCGAUACUGACGCUGAGGUGCGAAAGCGUGGGGAGCAAACAGG